Dermochelys coriacea (leatherback sea turtle) is the source of this 352-nucleotide long non-coding RNA. RefSeq lists it as uncharacterized. Lineage: Eukaryota; Metazoa; Chordata; Testudines; Dermochelyidae. The transcript is spliced from 2 exons. The record is from RefSeq and is a predicted model, not a curated record.
UCACCCUGCAGCUCGGCUGGGCCAGCCCCGCCUCUGCGCUGCUGUGCCCCCCCCGCCCCCGCCCCGGGAUUCCGUUCCCCCGGCGGUGCGCUGGCUGCUGCUCUGGGCCUGGCGUGCACAGGGGUGUGCAAAGGAUAUAGCUUCCUUCAAUAUCUCUGAAGCAGAGCUGAAAUCUGCCUGCAGAGAACAUCAGGUGGAAGAUGUUUGGAGGUAUAUACAACACAAAGACACAGGAACUUUAUCUUCUUUUUUAGCUGCUCUGAAGUGAUUGCUGGGAUUUAUGAUCUCUCUUUAAAAGGACUCCUUGGAGCUACCUAGUUGCAGAUCAGAUAAAAUAUAUACCAUUCCCUGA